AGGACGAACGCUGGCGGCGUGCUUAACACAUGCAAGUCGAGCGGAAAGGCCCUUCGGGGUACUCGAGCGGCGAACGGGUUGAGUAACACGUGAGCAACCUGCCCUUAGCUCUGGGAUAGCUCCGGGAAACCGGAAAUUAAUACCGGAUACUUACACCGGCUGGCAUCGGACUGGUGUGGAAAGAUUUAGUCGGCUAAGGAUGGACUCGCGGCCUAUCAGCUUGUUGGUGGGUAGAAGCCUACCAAGGCGACGACGGGUA
This 259-nucleotide ribosomal RNA is filed under the name uncultured bacterium. RNAcentral describes it as "partial small subunit ribosomal RNA". It matches the Rfam family "Bacterial small subunit ribosomal RNA", at positions 26 to 285 of the family's 1533-position model. The record is from RNAcentral.